RNAcentral lists this ribosomal RNA (301 nucleotides) under uncultured bacterium. RNAcentral describes it as "partial 16S ribosomal RNA". It matches the Rfam family "Bacterial small subunit ribosomal RNA", at positions 509 to 807 of the family's 1533-position model. The record is from RNAcentral.
CAGUAGCCGCGGUAAUACGGAGGGAGCUAGCGUUGUUCGGAAUUACUGGGCGUAAAGCGUACGCAGGCGGUUAUUCAAGUCAGAGGUGAAAGCCCGGGGCUCAACCCCGGAACUGCCUUUGAAACUAGAUGACUAGAAUCUUGGAGAGGUCAGUGGAAUUCCGAGUGUAGAGGUGAAAUUCGUAGAUAUUCGGAAGAACACCAGUGGCGAAGGCGACUGACUGGACAAGUAUUGACGCUGAGGUGCGAAAGCGUGGGGAGCAAACAGGAUUAGAUACCCCGGUAGUCCCUGUCUCUUAUAC